RNAcentral lists this ribosomal RNA (254 nucleotides) under uncultured bacterium. Its description in RNAcentral is "partial 16S ribosomal RNA". It matches the Rfam family "Bacterial small subunit ribosomal RNA", at positions 524 to 776 of the family's 1533-position model. The record is from RNAcentral.
UACGAGGGGUGCUAGCGUUGCUCGGAAUUAUUGGGCGUAAAGGGUAGGUAGGUGGUCUCAUUUGUCUCAUGUGAAAGCCUUGAGCUUAACUCAAGAAGUGCGUGAGAAACGGUGAGACUAGAGUACUGGAGAGGCUAGUGGAAUUCCCGGUGUAGCGGUGAAAUGCGCAGAUAUCGGGAAGAACACCCGUGGCGAAGGCGGCUCUCUGGGACGGUACUGACGCUGAGACGCGAAAAGCGUGGGGAGCGAACAGG